GCGGAAAUAGCUCAGUUGGUAGAGCACAACCUUGCCAAGGUUGGGGUCGCGGGUUCGAGUCCCGUUUUCCGCU
RNAcentral lists this transfer RNA (73 nucleotides) under Bacteroides sp. RNAcentral's name for it is "tRNA-Gly". It matches the Rfam family "tRNA". Rfam says of the family: Transfer RNA (tRNA) molecules are approximately 80 nucleotides in length. Their secondary structure includes four short double-helical elements and three loops (D, anti-codon, and T loops). RNAcentral also lists the same sequence under 28 other names. Lineage: Bacteria; Pseudomonadati; Bacteroidota; Bacteroidia; Bacteroidales; Bacteroidaceae. The record is from RNAcentral.